AACGAACGCUGGCGGCAUGCCUAACACAUGCAAGUCGAACGAGACCUUCGGGUCUAGUGGCGCACGGGUGCGUAACGCGUGGGAACCUGCCCUUAGGUUCGGAAUAACUCCCCGAAAGGGGUGCUAAUACCGGAUAAUGUCUUCGGACCAAAGAUCUAUCGCCUUUGGAUGGGCCCGCGUUGGAUUAGCUAGUUGGUAGGGUAAAAGCCUACCAAGGCGACGUUCCAUAGCUGGUCUGAGAGGAUGAUCAGCCACACUGGGACUGAGACACGGCCCAGACUCCUACGGGAGGCAGCAGUGGGGAAUAUUGGACAAUGGGGGAAAGCCUGAUCCAGCAAUGCCGCGUGAGUGAUGAAGGCCUUAGGGUUGUAAAGCUCUUUUACCCGGGAUGAUAAUGACAGUACCGGGAGAAUAAGCUCCGGCUAACUCCGUG
RNAcentral lists this ribosomal RNA (433 nucleotides) under uncultured bacterium. RNAcentral describes it as "partial 16S ribosomal RNA". It matches the Rfam family "Bacterial small subunit ribosomal RNA", at positions 29 to 507 of the family's 1533-position model. The record is from RNAcentral.